GAUGAACGCUAGCGGCAGGCCUAAUACAUGCAAGUCGGACGGGAUUCAGGAGCUUGCUUCUGAUGAGAGUGGCGCACGGGUGCGUAACACGUAUGUAACCUACCUUUAUCAGGGGGAUAGCCUCUCGAAAGAGAGAUUAAGCCCGCAUAAAAUCACAGCACAGCAUUGUGUAAUGAUCAAAUAUUUAUAGGAUAAAGAUGGGCAUGCGGAACAUUAGCUAGAUGGCGGGGUAACGGCCCACCAUGGCGACGAUGUUUAGGGGAUCUGAGAGGAUGGCCCCCCACACUGGUACUGCGACACGGACCAGACUCCUACGGGAGGCAGCAGUAAGGAAUAUUGGUCAAUGGGCGGAAGCCUGAACCAGCCAUGCCGCGUGCAGGAAGACGGCCCUACGGGUUGUAAACUGCUUUUAUACGGGAAUAACCCCAGAUACGUGUAUCUGGCUGACUGUACUGUAAGAAUAAGGAUCGGCUAACUCCGUG
Molecule: ribosomal RNA, 482 nt
Filed under: uncultured bacterium
Lineage: Bacteria
Description: partial 16S ribosomal RNA
Rfam family: Bacterial small subunit ribosomal RNA
Source: RNAcentral